GAGUUUGAUCGUGGCUCAGAACGAACGCUGGCGGCAGGCCUAACACAUGCAAGUCGAGCGCCCAGCAAUGGGAGCGGCGGACGGGUGAGUAACGCGUGGGAAUUUUUCCUGGAGUACGGAACAACCGAGGGAAACUUCGGCUAAUACCGUAUGAUAUCGAGAGAUCAAAGAUUUAUCGCUCUGGGGUGAGCCCGCGUCAGAUUAGGUAGUUGGUGGGGUAACGGCCUACCAAGCCUGCGAUCUGUAGCUGGUCUGAGAGGACGAUCAGCCACACUGGGACUGAGACACGGCCCAGACUCCUACGGGAGGCAGCAGUGGGGAAUCUUGCGCAAUGGGCGAAAGCCUGACGCAGCCAUGCCGCGUGAGUGAAGAAGGUCUUAGGAUUGUAAAGCUCUUUCGCUCGUGACGAUGAUGACGGUAACGAGAGAAGAAGCCCCGGCUAACUUCGUGCCAGCAGCCGCCGUAAG
Molecule: ribosomal RNA, 467 nt
Filed under: uncultured Alphaproteobacteria bacterium
Lineage: Bacteria; Pseudomonadati; Pseudomonadota; Alphaproteobacteria
Description: bacterial SSU rRNA
Rfam family: Bacterial small subunit ribosomal RNA
Source: RNAcentral